Molecule: long non-coding RNA, 2175 nt
Filed under: Lactuca sativa (garden lettuce)
Lineage: Eukaryota; Viridiplantae; Streptophyta; Magnoliopsida; Asterales; Asteraceae
Description: long non-coding RNA (LSAT_LNC007022)
Source: RNAcentral
UUUAGUGGCACAAACUGUACAUCAAAAAUUCUAAUUUCAUGUUGCUUGCUCCUAUGUCAAAAGCAUUCCUCGCAUCCUAAAGUUUAAAAAAUUUAAAUUGAAAAUUAUCGGAUUAAUCAUGCCCUAAUUCUAGCUCCUUUAGAUAUUUUAUCCUUGGUUCUGUAUUCUAUACCCUUAUCUCCACUUCUCAAGUUGAUGCCUCUUAUGUUAGACACGAAUCACGCUUCACAAGCUCAUAGUUGACAACAACACCAUCACCGGCGCCGGACCAUCCAAACGCAAUGUACCAGACCAUACCAUCAUAACAGAAGGUAUGAUUUUUUUUAUAUUGAUUACAACUAUUGAUCUUGAGUGUGGUUAUUUUUUCACUUUUGAUUUCUCAUCUUUUUUUUACUAUUGUUUACCAGGUGCAAAUAUCAUCCUUCUCUCAAAUGCUCGAUCGUCUCUCAAGUUUUCUUAUUUAAAUUAGUCUUUUUGUAAUCUUCUUUACUCUUCUCUACACUCAUCUCUAUUUUUUUCUUAAAUUGGUAUGUUUGGAAUGAAUUACAAAGGUUGCUAAGGAAUGAAACUGAAAUUAGGAUGUAGAAGCUAUGCUCAAGGAAAGUGCAUAUAAAGUGUUUGUAGAAAUGCAGAAGAGAGAACAGAGGUGAGUAUGAGCACAAUCUUUAUUUAUGUAGUAUCUUUGUAAAUAAAUUUGUUGUUUCUGUCUGUUUAUGAGUUCUCAUUUUUUGUUGUGCAUACAUAACUUAUUUUGCUUUAAAUUUAAUUAGAUUAGAUGUUCAUGUUCUAAAAUAUAGAACAUAAUUAAAUUAGGCUGACUUGAAAUAUAUUGAUUUUGGAAAAGGGGUAUUCUCCCUUCAUGUAUAUAGAGGUGAUUAUGUUCUAAAUGAAUUAGAUUAGUUGUUCACAUACUUUAAUUUUGGAAUUUUUUAUCUUUCCUUAAAUUGAUGUUCUUGUUGAGGAUGAAGCUUUAAACGAAGUUGUUUACUAUCAUAAUCAUGAACUCGAUUAUGAGUAUUAUUGAUAUAUAUAUGUAUGCCAAUCACAUUCGGUUAGUAUAAGUUUUUAAAAAAAUUUCUAAAUUUAUUUAGAUUUUUUUGAUCGUGCAAUCAUAUUUUCCAUGCCAAUGAUAUUUCAGGAUUUAGUGAAGCCCACACCUGAAUGGAAAUUUCUCUAGUAGCUCUUUCCCUUUUGUAUAUAAUCAAUUCAUCAAUUCAUCCAUUUCAUAACACGAAAAGAUGAUUGCAAAAAUGGUUAUGGAAGCCCAAAUCUAUAUUGAGCUAUAUGUAGUGCAUAUUUUUUUUCUUAUGGUUAUGUUUAGAAGGUUUCCACGAACCUGUAAUAGAAUAUAAAGUGAUAUUGUUUAUGAGUUCAGUUGUAGUCGCUUACAAACCAUAACCAUCAUGUAUGAACUCAUUACUUUGGUUUAUUAAUACCAUAUCUACGAAGUACAUGAUUAUGUCACUGUUUUGAAAAAAAAUGUUUUAAAGAUGCCAUCAUUUUGAAAAACAAUGUUGCUGCACAAUUCUAAUUAUAAUAACCUUUGAUUAUGUGAUAUGUCUCUGUUUUGAAAAACAUAUGUUUUGACGAUUGAUAAUACAAUGUUGUUAAAGAAACCAGGAUAUUGUUUCGUAACAUCAAUUGUAAUGGUCCUUUUGACAGUAAAUUGUUAUAGAAAUUUAUGUUGUCAUAUUUGUAGGGAAUACCAUAUAGACACAUAUCGUGAAACAACUACCAAAAACUAUGUUGAUGCGGGAGUUUUGGAAAGGAGAUACUACUAGUAUGUUGUACUUGGGUGUUUGAUUCUUCAAAUCAACUAUAUAUCGGCGGUAAAUGGUUGUAAUUUACUUAUUUUUAGAUUAAUUUGACUAUAGCCUACUAGUUUUAGAUUAUAAUGCCUAUAAUACUUAUUUUUAGAUUAUCAUUUUAUAAUUGCUAGAAUAGUUAAGGUAUCACAAAACUUGUUUUGUUUGGUAGACUUUCUUACAAGUCUAAGUGACUCUACAAACAUACAAGGGACCGAAGGCGAUUAUUGAAGACGUUUGUAUUUUAAAUAUAUUGAGAAUAUUAUUUUUAGACUUAUUUAAGUUUUUUGAAGAUGUUUGUAUUUUAAAUAUAUUGCGAAUAUUAUUUUUUGACAAGUUUGAAUUAAUGUGAUGAUAUUGUGUUUCUAUU